CCAAAUUAUUUUAAUAAUAUAAUAAGUAUAGAGCUAUCAUGCUAUCGAAAGUAUAAAGUAAUUGAUGCUUUAGGUUUUUUAACUUUUGGAUCAAAGAUUAUAUAGUUGGAAUGAUAGCGAUCCCCUUAGGUAUCCCUACGGUUGAGUGGUCUUCAUUAGUUAAUAAUACUAAUCUAAUGGUUAGAAAUGAUCAUCGGAAGCACCAAUUACUUUAUGAUUCCGAUAACAUAGUAGCUCUACUCAUAUAAUAAUAUAUUGUUAAUGUUAUAAUCUACAUCUGUUUACAUUUUUAGAUUAAUUA
RNAcentral lists this long non-coding RNA (301 nucleotides) under Ananas comosus (pineapple). RNAcentral's name for it is "long non-coding RNA (ACOM_LNC011288)". The record is from RNAcentral. Lineage: Eukaryota; Viridiplantae; Streptophyta; Magnoliopsida; Poales; Bromeliaceae.